RNAcentral lists this ribosomal RNA (252 nucleotides) under uncultured bacterium. Its description in RNAcentral is "partial 16S ribosomal RNA". It matches the Rfam family "Bacterial small subunit ribosomal RNA", at positions 524 to 776 of the family's 1533-position model. The record is from RNAcentral.
UACGGGGGGAGCAAGCGUUGUUCGGAAUUAUUGGGCGUAAAGAGCUCGUAGGCGGUCUGUCACGUCUGCUGUGAAAACCCGAGGCUCAACCUCGGGCCUGCAGUGGGUACGGGCAGACUAGAGUGCGGUAGGGGAGAUUGGAAUUCCUGGUGUAGCGGUGGAAUGCGCAGAUAUCAGGAGGAACACCGAUGGCGAAGGCAGAUCUCUGGGCCGUAACUGACGCUGAGGAGCGAAAGCAUGGGAGCGAACAGG